This 84-nucleotide transfer RNA is filed under the name Pyropia pulchra. RNAcentral's name for it is "tRNA-Leu". It matches the Rfam family "tRNA". Rfam says of the family: Transfer RNA (tRNA) molecules are approximately 80 nucleotides in length. Their secondary structure includes four short double-helical elements and three loops (D, anti-codon, and T loops). Lineage: Eukaryota; Rhodophyta; Bangiophyceae; Bangiales; Bangiaceae. The record is from RNAcentral.
ACGGAUAUGAUGGAAAUGGUAGACAUGUCAGGUUUAGGUUUUGAUGAAUAUUAUUCAUGAGGGUUCAAGUCCCUCUAUCCGUAC